ACAUUCGGGCCCGGGGUUUUUGGAGGUCGAACAGGGUCCUGGCCUCUCGCUACCUGUUGAAUGUUCCUGGGCCUAGGCGGGCCUGCGUUGCAUUGGAUCGGCGGUUGCAGCCAGUUGUCUCGACCUCGCGUCGAGGAGUGAGGACGGAUCGCCUCCCGGGUAAGUCCCUGUUUUUCCUUAUCUUUGGGUAGUUAGCUCCGGAGAGCCGAUGAGGCUUCCCCAGAAAACCAGCGUUGAAUGUAAUGAAACGCCAUUUUCUGGGUGAGUCCCGGAGGCUCCCCGAUUUCCCUCCCUCCCUCUGGUAAGCAGUGUUUUUCGCAUUUUUGAUACCCAGCCUAAGAACUGUGGGGUGGGUUGCUGGCGGUUAAGUCUGGGGCUGCCCCUUCCCCCUCCCGGGAAGCCGAGGGGGUUGCACAGACAGCGGCGCGGCAACGUGAUGACGUCAUGCUCGUUGCUAGUUUUCGUUUGGGGAGUUCCGUCCACUUGUUCGGUCUUCGGUCGCAAUUGUUUUACCAUUAUAGGGGUUUGCUUUGGAGCACCUACCUUUCUGGGUGUCUAUCCUGGUCGAUGGCAGACAUAGCAUGCUCCCAAUAAUAAAGGGGAGUCUCUAUAGGCCAUUGCUCCUCGUGCCUCUCUAGAGGGGGGCCAGGUUCUUGCUCUUGGUCCCCGGUAGGCAAGAACUCCAUGCAUUGACUGAUCCCAGAAAGUUAUACAUAUCCACUCCAGGGAGCCUUCGGGACUCGCCCAGAAAAUGGCGUUUCAUUACAUUCAACGCUGGGUUUUUUCCUCAUUUUUGGUGUUGGUUUCUGAUCCCUGAACUCUCCUUGCCUCAUGGAGAGUGCCAGAAUGUGGUUGUGGUGCAUCUCCCUUAACCAUCACUUAGCUUCGGAAGAUACUUGGUGCUUUAUCAGUAGUAAGUGUUACCAGUAGUAAGCUGUCUCGUGCGUUGUUUCACCUCCGGCCUGCUCAUGCGGCCGGAGGUGAAAUAUUCAAUGCUAUAUUUUUAUUCCCUUGAUAAUUUAAGUUCCGGUUGGAUAAUUAGGCUUGAAAAAUACCAUACGCAAUGUUAAGAACAAAGUGCCUGCUAUUAGAAAAUUAGACAGUGCAAACUGCCGUGUUAAAAAUUGCUAUAGUUUGUAUAUGGUUUGCACUCUGGUGAUGUCAUGCAGAGAACUUGAAGUAACCUAAUACAAAAUUUAAGAAAAAACUUCCAGCAUCCAUAGUUGACUCAAGACACUCAUUCACUUCAGGAACCUGGCAAAUGUUUGUUGCCAAAAUAAACCCCAAAUUAGCAAUUGCUGAUCAUGAAUUUAGUUUGUUGCUUCAUUUCAAUCCUUGCCUUUCACUAGCAAACUAAUAAAACUUAUACAGUAUAGUGGCAAAUAAUAUUUUUUAGAAGAUUAGCUUACAUUACUAUAGAUUCCCUUUUCAGAGAAAAAGAAAAAUUUUGUGGCUUUUCAGCAUAGAAAUAUCAGUCAAAAUUUAAAAUUUAACAAGGUGCUGUUAAAUGCCAUGGCUAUUUCAGCAUUAUAAUCUCAGUGUUUUGUUUACAAUACUUGAUACUAAUCCAGACCUAAUGUUGUUGUGUUGUGGGAGGUAAGCUCUCUCAGCUCAUGUCCUGAUGUAGUGUUGUGGGAGGUAAGCUCUCUCAGCUCAUGUCCUGAUGUAGUGUUGUGGGAGGUAAGCUCUCUCAGCUCAUGUCCUGAUGUAGUGUUGUGGGAGGUAAGCUCUCUCAGCUCAUGUCCUGAUGUAGUGUUGUGGGAGGUAAGCUCUCUCAGCUCAUGUCCUGAUGUAGUGUUGUGGGAGGUAAGCUCUCACAGCUGAUGUCCUGAAGGGGCAAUGCCAUUGUAGUCAUGUCUAUCUAUGAAAAGCUUUUUAUGUUAUACAAGGAAAAUAAUUAUUUUGUUAAUAAUUUGUUAAUUUGUUAGCUAUCUAUCUGCACUAAACAUUACUUUGUAACUUAGUUUCUUUAUAUCAUGUGUGUUUAACCCAACUGUUUGGCCAUGGAGCAAGUGCAUUCUGUGAGCUUCUAGGUGAGCUUUCAUGAGCUGUGAACUCUUUCUUUAUUAGUAUGCCACCACACUAAACAUACCACGAUGAGCAACAUGACAUGGUGGACGUUAUAUGUACAGCUUAAUGUAUCUGCAUUUCCUGUUGUUCUAGCAAUGUAACUUCAUGCUGACUUGUUAUUAUUAAGUUAAAGAUGCCUUGAAUACAGGCUAGACAUGAUAUUUAGAAUAUAAAUAAUUAAUACUUACUCCUCAACCUUAAUGCUUGUGUGUGUGUGUGUGUGUGUGUACUAAAGUCAUGAAAUAAUUCCUGUAUCAUAUAUCAAGUUCUAUAGCAAAUACUUAGCUGAGGUUUGUUUCCUGUUUUAUUAAUAAUAUUAAUUAUUAUUAUUAUCUUAAUAUUACAUAGCUAUAUAAUCACUAGUUUGAUGAAUUUGUAUUUAUAAAUAAAAGAUUCACAUACAGUA
This is a non-coding RNA of Procambarus clarkii (red swamp crayfish), 2476 nucleotides long. The record is from RefSeq and is a predicted model, not a curated record. Lineage: Eukaryota; Metazoa; Arthropoda; Malacostraca; Decapoda; Cambaridae.